GGCCAGACAGUCGCGUCACUCGCAAGAGUGCCGAGGAAAGUCCGGGCUCCAUAGGGCAAGGUGCCAGGUAACGCCUGGGCGGCGCAAGCCGACGGACAGUGCAACAGAAAGAUACCGCCUACGUUCCUUUCGGGGAGCCGGUAAGGGUGAAAUGGUGCGGUAAGAGCGCACCGCGAGUCCGGUAACGGACCGGCACGGCAAACCCCACCUGGAGCAAGACCAAAUAGGGAUCCAUUGGCGUGGCC
This 245-nucleotide RNase P RNA is filed under the name Vibrio parahaemolyticus. RNAcentral's name for it is "partial RNase P RNA component class A". It matches the Rfam family "Bacterial RNase P class A", at positions 7 to 255 of the family's 367-position model. Rfam says of the family: Ribonuclease P (RNase P) is a ubiquitous endoribonuclease, found in archaea, bacteria and eukarya as well as chloroplasts and mitochondria. Its best characterised activity is the generation of mature 5'-ends of tRNAs by cleaving the 5'-leader elements of precursor-tRNAs. Lineage: Bacteria; Pseudomonadati; Pseudomonadota; Gammaproteobacteria; Vibrionales; Vibrionaceae. The record is from RNAcentral.